This 449-nucleotide ribosomal RNA is filed under the name uncultured bacterium. RNAcentral's name for it is "partial 16S ribosomal RNA". It matches the Rfam family "Bacterial small subunit ribosomal RNA", at positions 29 to 523 of the family's 1533-position model. The record is from RNAcentral.
AACGAACGCUGGCGGCAUGCCUAACACAUGCAAGUCGAAAGAAGGCUUCGGCCUUAGUGGCGCACGGGUGCGUAACGCGUGGGAAUCUGCCCUUUGCUUCGGAAUAACACAGAGAAAUUUGUGCUAAUACCGGAUAAUGUCGCAAGACCAAAGAUUUAUCGGCAAAGGAUGAGCCCGCGUAAGAUUAGGUAGUUGGUGGGGUAAUGGCCUACCAAGCCGACGAUCUUUAGCUGGUCUGAGAGGUUGAUCAGCCACACUGGGACUGAGCCACGGCCCAGACUCCUACGGGAGGCAGCAGUGGGGAAUAUUGGACAAUGGGCGAAAGCCUGAUCCAGCAAUGCCGCGUGAGUGAUGAAGGCCUUAGGGUUGUAAAGCUCUUUUACCAGGGAUGAUAAUGACAGUACCUGGAGAAUAAGCUCCGGCUAACUCCGUGCCAGCCGCCGCAGUAA